AAUGACGGUACCGGAAGAAUAAGCCCCGGCUAACUUCGUGCCAGCAGCCGCGGUAAUACGAAGGGUGCAAGCGUUAUUCGGAUUUACUGGGCGUAAAGCGCACGUAGGCGGCGUAUCUAGUCAGAGGUGAAAGCCCGGGGCUCAACCCCGGAAUUGCCUUUGAUACUGGUAUGCUUGAGUUCGGAAGAGGGUAGUGGAAUUCCAAGUGUAGAGGUGAAAUUCGUAGAUAUUUGGAAGAACACCGGUGGCGAAGGCGGCUACCUGGUCCGAUACUGACGCUGAGGUGCGAAAGCGUGGGGAGCGAACAGGAUUAGAUACCCUGGUAGUCCACGCCGUAAACGAUGAGUGCUAAGUGU
Molecule: ribosomal RNA, 356 nt
Filed under: Oxyrrhis marina
Lineage: Eukaryota; Dinophyceae; Oxyrrhinales; Oxyrrhinaceae
Description: partial Bacterial small subunit ribosomal RNA
Rfam family: Bacterial small subunit ribosomal RNA
Source: RNAcentral